This 440-nucleotide ribosomal RNA is filed under the name uncultured bacterium. RNAcentral's name for it is "partial 16S ribosomal RNA". It matches the Rfam family "Bacterial small subunit ribosomal RNA", at positions 338 to 795 of the family's 1533-position model. The record is from RNAcentral.
CCUACGGGAGGCAGCAGUGGGGGAUAUUGCACAAUGGGGGGAACCCUGAUGCAGCGACGCCGCGUGGGUGAAGAAGCGCCUCGGCGCGUAAAGCCCUGUCAGCAGGGAAGAAAAUGACGGUACCUGAAGAAGAAGCCCCGGCUAACUACGUGCCAGCAGCCGCGGUAAUACGUAGGGGGCAAGCGUUAUCCGGAUUUACUGGGUGUAAAGGGGGCGCAGGCGGGGAUGCAAGCCGGGAGUGAAAGCCCGCGGCCCAACCCGGGGACGGAACUUGAAAUUGCGGGUCUGGAGUGCAGGAGGGGCAGGCGGAAUUCCUGGUGUAGCGGUGAAAUGCGUAGAUAUCAGGAGGAACACCGGUGGCGAAGGCGGCCUGCUGGACUGUUACUGACGCUGAGGCUCGAAAGUGUGGGGAGCAAACAGGAUUAGAUACCCGAGUAGUC